CUCUUCGCAUUUUCUUUUUCCUACUACUUUUGGUCGGGAAAAUCCCGUUAAAAUCUUUCCCCUGUUGCCAUAAAAGACUUGAUCCUCAGAGGUCAAAUCCAUGGUUAAUCGGAUUGCCAUGCAGCAUUAACCCGAAUUUACAUGCGUCUUAUCACAUCAACAAAUGUGGGCUUCACGGUUAAUUUGAUUGUUACCUCAAUUCACGUUAGAUAUGAACAGGACCAUAUUUGACUGGAAAAAGGAACGGUUUGAUUCAAAGACUGAGGAUUAAAUUGAACGAGACUAAAGUUUAAGGAUGGAGUUUUACAUUAGCUAAAAGUUGUAAAGUGCAUGGAUUUUUUUUUUUUUUUACGUUGUUCUGUUGAAAUUUGAUGGAUUGAGUGCCCGCAAUUUGGAUCCAUUGACAACAUUGGCUGGGGGCUCUUCACUCUAUGGACCCCGCCCACGGAAACACACAGGCAACGACUCAUUACGCGUGCGUGUUUCAACGCGCGAAGAUGAUUGACUUCCACGGUUGACUUGUGACUUCUCUUCUGAGCCCACCCUCAAGCAUCAGCUCAUUCCUGUCUUUCUUUCCAUGGAGCUUUGGAGCUAAUCAAUGGUGCUUCGUUGAAUUGCAUUUAUUCAGUUGCAGGUCAUACAAACAUCUCAAGUAGGCGUGCCAUCCUCAUCCUGAGCUGUUUCUUGAGUAUUUGACCCGGCGUCUUCAAAAUCAGAUAUGGUUGAGGCGGCAGCUACGGCAGCGGCUGUUGAGGCAUACAGGGAUGGGAAAAGCUUAAUAGCUUAUGUUGGUCGCAAAAUCAAUUAUGCGGAUGAUCUUGAAAAGAAUUUUAGAAGGCUCACAGAGGAAGCAGAGAAACUCUUUGCUAGGAGGGAUGACGUGGAAGCUGAAGCAAACAAAGACAAGACAAAGAAAAAAACUAAAGAGUGUGAAGCCUGGAUUGGCAGGGUUAAGAAUGUUGAGAAUGAGGUUCAAGAACUAGAAAAUGAAUUUAGAAAAAGAAGAAAACGUUCAUGGAAACAGCGUCACAUUUUGUCAGCUCCCAAUUUCAGUAAACGUUUGGCUGAGAAGUGCGAGGAAUUGCAUAGUCUGUGGGCAGAAGGAGGACUUGAAACCGAAGCAGUUGUCGAGAGACCACCUGAGCCUGUCAGAUUAAUGCAUGCUCCGAAAACAGAAAACAAGCCAUCGAUCCACUGUGCUGUUGAAGAGAUCCUUGGUUACUUGAGGGACUGCAGUGUGAAAAGAAUUGGGCUCUGGGGGACAGUGGGAAUAGGGAAGACCACAAUCAUGCAUAAUUUGAAUGAUGAUGAAGAGAUCAGCAAAAUGUUUGACAUUGUAAUUUCAGCGUCAGUUUCCAAAGAAAGUAGCAUAGAGAAGUUGCAAAAGGCAAUUGCGCAGAGGCUUAAAUUGAAUACUGAAGGGAUCGGUGAUCCGCACGAAAUAUCGUGGAGAAUAUCAAAAGAAUUGGAGAACAAAAGAUACUUGCUUCUUCUGGAUGAAGUUUGGAGUGUUUUUGAUUUACAGGCAGUGGGAUUACAUGAUAACAACCAGGAUAGUAAGGUUGUGUUAGCAAGUAGAUACCAACAUGUUUGUUCGGAUAUGGAAGUUGAUGAGUUGGUCAAUGUGAAAAGGCUGUCUGAAGCAGAUGCAUGGAAAAUGUUCCGGGAGAAAGUGGGUAGGAAUAUUAAUCUGCCUGGUGUUGAACCACUUGGCCAUCUAGUGGUAACUGAAUGUGCUGGUUUACCACUUCUGAUUGACAGAGUUGCAAGAUAUUUCAGAAAGAAGGAUAACAUUAAUCUUUGGAGGGAUGGAUUAAGAAGCUUGCGAAAAUGGCCUAGUGUAAAAAUCCAAGGCAUGGACGAAGUUCUUGAAUUUUUGAAAUUCUGUUACGACAAGUUGGAUGAUGAAGGACAAAAGAUUUGUUUCCUAUAUGGCGCAUUGUUUCCGGAGGAUUCUGAUGUCUAUAUAGAUUAUUUAUUGGAGUGCUGGAGAGCAGAAGGCUUUCUGAGUGAUGCAGUUGAUUUUACCGAAGCUCGUGAUCGGGGCCAUGGCAUAUUGCAUGAACUCAUAGAUGUUUCCUUGCUCGAAAAAAGUGAAAAAGUAAAGCACGUUAGAAUGAACAAAGUGCUCCGGAACAUGGCACUCAAAAUUUCGUCAGAAGGCAAGAAUUCUAAAUUCUUGGUGAAAGCUUGUGAAGGGCUGAAAGAGGCCCCUAAUGAAGAAGAUUGGAAAAUGGCAAACCGCAUAUCUCUGAUGGAUAACCACCUGUGCACAUUACCAGGAACAGUAGAUUGCACUUCUCUCCUAACCCUGAUGCUGCAAAGAAAUUAUGAACUGGCAUUAAUUCCAGAUGCAUUUUUUGGAUCUAUGGAAAAGCUCCGAGUUCUAGAUUUGCAUGGCACUCGGAUCACAUCCUUGCCAUUAUCAAUGUUGUCCUUGACAGCUCUAAGAGCACUUUAUCUAAAUUCUUGCAGCUUUUUAACUGAACUUCCUAUUGACAUGAAGGCACUGGCACAUCUGGAGGUUCUUGAUAUCCGAGGCACUGGAAUUGACUAUUUGCCGGUUCAGAUUGGGGACUUGCUUAAUUUGAGAUGCUUGCGGAUUUCCUUAUCCAAUUCGUGUAUGAGACGGGUGAUCGAGGGACGGUCAAGAGUCAUGGACAUUGGUCACAAUGUCAUCUCAAGGCUUUCUUCGUUGGAAGAGCUUAGCAUCGAUGUGCAUCCUAAUAACCAAUGGUGGGAUGUGGUUGUAAAGGCUAUUACACAAGAAGUGGCCACCUUGACGCGCUUGACUUCUCUAUCAUUUUGUUUUCCUUCCGUCGAGUAUCUAAAAAUUUUUGUCACUAGCAGCUCACUCUUGAAGAAUAUCUGCUUCACCUUCCGAUUUUCCGUUGGUUACCAUGAGUCUACCAGAUAUCGAAUCCUCGAUCAUUUUGAGUAUGAAAUCUGCAGGUGUUUAAAAUAUGCAAAUGGGGUCGGUGUGGAUCAUGCAAUUUCUGCUGUACUUGCUGAAACUGAUGCAUUUGAACUUUUAUGCCACAAGGGAAUUUCAAGCAUAUCAGACUUUGGCAACGCCAAUAUCAACAAGGUGCGGGGUUGCCUGAUUGAAGGGUGCUCCGACAUUGAAGCCAUGGUUGAUGGCAACCAUUCCACAGCAGGUGCAUUGGAAUGCAUGGAGAAGAUAGUUAUAAACAAUGCCCCAAAAUUGACAUGCCUUUGGAAUGGUCCCGUGCAACCUGGAAGCCUAGCCCAACUAACUUCUCUAAGUAUAUAUAAAUGUCCAAAACUGACGAAAAUAUUCUCCGCUGGCAUGAUUCCACAACUUUCUAAGCUUCAAUAUUUGAGAGUUGAAGAGUGUCAUGAGAUUACAGAGAUCAUCAUGAAAGCUGAAAACAACAAUUUAGACCCUAGUGCACUUCCAGGUCUAAAGACUCUGAUACUUACUGAUCUGCCUAAGUUGAGAAGCAUUUGGAUUGAUAACUCAUUGGUGUGGCCGUCGUUAGAGGGCAUUACCAUACAUAUGUGCCAAUCACUAAAGAGAUUGCCCUUCGGGAACCAUAAUGCAGCCAAACUGAGACAUAUUGAAACUCAAAGAGUGUGGUGGAGGCGGCUGUCUUGGCAGGAAGAAGAAGUUGAACAAAGAUUACGACCUAUAUGCAUAUUCAGCUAGUAAUUGGCCCGUUUUAUGCUGAGAAAUUCUUCAUCAUCUGUUACUGGAAGGGUCUCAGAGAACCUGAGUUUGCCUUUGCUUACAUAUCUAUCCUUGAAGGAGCUUCUAAGAUGAUUGUGAGGCUUAGUUUGCUGAGAACUAAGGAAAAGAAAUGAACAUCUCCUUUCAGAAACUAAUGCAUUGGGACACAUUCCUGAGUCGAGCAUUAUAAGAGAGCAGCACAUACAUAGCUGAGACAAAACCAUCUAGCUAUUGAAGCAUUCAGAGUUUAGACUCGUGGGUAGACGAUUACCGAUUUUUUAGAUGUUGGUUGCUGCAGCAGAGACUCAAGAUUUACCUCUACUUGAUGCUUCUCUUUAUGAGUUCAGUUGGUCAAAUAAUCCAAAACCAAUACACGCCCUUUCUUUGAUACAGAAAGUCUUUGGCCACCCAUCACACCACAGAAAUUUUAUUUUUGGUUCUAAUAGUCAUGUCUAGGCCAAUUGAUGAAUAUCUCGACUAAUCCGCCUGUCCUAGCAGGUGAAAGGCUAGAAUAUAUGCAAUAAGAGUUUUCUACUGUAAUUUUAUUUUGACUGAUGUUGGAGACGAGAACAGACCAUGAGAUCAAUUUUUAAAUGAGGUUGAACUAUAUGCGAAUAUUAGUCUAAACGAA
Molecule: RNA transcript, 4322 nt
Organism: Syzygium oleosum
Lineage: Eukaryota; Viridiplantae; Streptophyta; Magnoliopsida; Myrtales; Myrtaceae
Gene name: disease resistance protein RPS2-like
Exons: 5
Source: RefSeq, a predicted model, not a curated record